CAUGGUGCUAUGCAACUCAAAUAUGAGAAAGUAGUCCGAAAAGAUGCAUGGUACUACGCAAAUUUGAUAUGAGAAAGUAGGGAAAAGAAGUGUGGUGGCCUAACUUUUGUUAACAUGAUUAUUGGCCGGACGGGAGGCAUGUAUUGGUUACCGCCAGCAUUGGAAGCUCUUUGAUUCUCUACCAAGAUCGUAGAGUCUCUGAUACCAUGUGAGAAGUAUGAGAAGAAUAUUAUUGAUUGUUAUAACUACAUUAUUACAUUGAGACCCUAUUUAUAGACACUACAUUCUAAUCCUUUUCCUAAUAGGACACUACAUUGCAAUUCCUUUCCAAGUAGGAUUCUAUAUACUAUUCCUACUCCUACUCAUAUUCUAAUAAGUACUAGUUCAUUUACGAUAAUGAAGUAUUGUAUCCUGCUAUACUAGAAUGAAUGCAAAAGAUAAAGUGAUCAAAAAGAUGGAAGAAAAAAGGUUGGCACUAUGUGGAUCCUUUUUGUCGGGGUAAGAUUAUAGUGCAUUGCUGUCUGUAAAUUUUUUUUUUGCUCGAGCUAGGGAAUCAAUUAAGUCUGCUUUGUCAACAGGAUCUCCAUGUCCACACUGAGAUUAUAAGUAAAAUAAAAGAACUUGUGCUAUAUCCUGAUUCAAGGAGUUCCUAGGAUAUGCCCUCGCAUUAUCAUUUUGGUUAUUUGAGCAUAUAUGACCAUUACAAAGGCAU
RNAcentral lists this long non-coding RNA (712 nucleotides) under Capsicum annuum. RNAcentral describes it as "long non-coding RNA (CANN_LNC003971)". Lineage: Eukaryota; Viridiplantae; Streptophyta; Magnoliopsida; Solanales; Solanaceae. The record is from RNAcentral.